RNAcentral lists this long non-coding RNA (1422 nucleotides) under Felis catus (domestic cat). Its description in RNAcentral is "lncRNA (ENSFCAG00000050371.1)". Lineage: Eukaryota; Metazoa; Chordata; Mammalia; Carnivora; Felidae. The record is from RNAcentral.
GUGGAGGUUACAUGUGGGUUUAGGAAAUGUGUGUGGUGCUGUGCUGAUGCAUGACAAAGCCAUCACAGUGAUCAGUGGUACAUGCAACAGGUUCCAUAGGAUAUAUCAUUGGAUCAGUGGCCAGUGCUGGUUCCCUCAGCAUCAUCCUACCCAUGGAUCCUAAUGAGGAUCCAGAUGAUCCCUUCCCCAUGGUUCAGUCUGAAGCAACUGACUGUUUAAGGGCUAAGGUGAAAUUUUCUAAUGCCCACACCACCAGGGCCACGAUAGUUGCUGCUUUCAUCCCUUCUGAGAUGGACAAGGCCUCUCAGGACUUUUCUACUCACUUCUCAGGAGGAAGCCUGUUUGAGGGAGCAAGGGAAGAUCUCAUCAGCCCUUCUUUGCUGGAUCACAGGAUGCAGAACUUUCCUGAAGGUUUCAGAUGAAGCCCCAGAGCUCAGGGAGGACUAAACAUGUGUCCUCUUCCCUGACCAGAGGCAGUGAGGUAAGAAACUUUGGGGAGCAUGUGACUAUCGUGGUUUUUUUUAAUGCUUAUUUAUUUUUGAGAAGGCACAGAUAGAGUGUGAGAGGAGAAGAGGCAGAAAGAGAGGGAGACACAGAAUUUAAAGCAGGCUCCGGGCUCUGAGCUGUCAACACAGAAUGCAAUGCAGGGUUCAAACUCACAACCUGCUAGAUCAUGACCAGAUCUGAAGUCGGAUGCUUCACCCACUCAGCCACCCAGGUGCCCAGUGACUGUCAUAUUUACUACAUGGAGUGUCCAUUCUUCAUAUAUGGGGCCCAAGACAGAGGCAGGACACAGGUAUCUGGGCUCCCUGAGAUAGUUAUCCUACAUACAAAAGUAAGAUGUGACAUUCCAAAAUAUGACACUUGAUGGCCUGGGUCACCCAGCCCUGCCAGCUGCUCAGAAACCGAGAAGGAGUCAUUGAUCCUCCAGGUGCUGAAUCGGGCCAGUGAGGUGGAGAAUGCCCUGAUGGAAUACCUGGCCGUAGCUUAAUCAGCUGUGGUGAGCAGCUGGACCCAAUUCAAAGGGAGGUAGGGACGAGGACACAGAGGGCAUCAUGGCUAUGUCUGGGCUCCUGGAAGGCAGGUGCAGGAAAAAGAUUUUCCAGGCCAUAUCUCCCCAGCCUCCCACCUAGGGUGGAGGGAGAGCAAAGUGCACGUGCAUGUGCAUUUACACUGUGUGGUCACCAGAGGGUAUUGUGGCCCUAACUGUGUGUGACAGAAAAUGAUGCUUGUGAAUGCUGCUUCUGCUGCUGCUGCUGCUGCCAAUCUCCUACUAAAUGAACCCUUACUACGUGCAAGCUCAUUUCCUCCUCACAACUCCCUAAUUCAUUAAGGAUUCUGGUACACUUUUUUAAUAUCAAAGAAACAUAAAGAGAUUAAAUAACUUGCCCAAUCACAAAGCCCUUAAGUGGUGGAGGUGGA